UUUAAGGAAAAUCCAGUCUUCGCCACUGAAUAUAUUGCUUGAUGAUCUGUGAUAUUAGGAUCUUAGUUGUGGAGAUUUGGAAGAAUUGUUGAAUUUCCAUCUCAAUGGCACCCAACGAUCGAGAAGAGUCCAUACUAGAGCAACUAGAGCUGGAAAAUUGAAGAGAUUGAGCCAAGAAACCAAAGCACAAGAAAAGGAGAAAUUCUCUCAUCACCCUGCAUAUUCUAAUUAAUACUACUACUAAUUAGAUACUAUGUCUCCUUACCAUCAUGAUACUUUUAACUCAACAUCAAAUUCUAAAAGUAUUUAUUAAAAGAAUACUUAACAAUUGUAUGUCAAAAAUGUCAAACUAAGGCAUUGAGGACUUGUGUAGAGCCAGAUUUCGCCAUUUAUUAGCUAGCUAAAUAGAAACAACAAUCAUCAUUUUUAGUAAUUUAUAUUUUUUUUAACUUUCAU
Molecule: long non-coding RNA, 456 nt
Filed under: Nicotiana benthamiana
Lineage: Eukaryota; Viridiplantae; Streptophyta; Magnoliopsida; Solanales; Solanaceae
Description: long non-coding RNA (NBEN_LNC034781)
Source: RNAcentral